Molecule: ribosomal RNA, 204 nt
Filed under: Escherichia coli O174:H8 str. 04-3038
Lineage: Bacteria; Pseudomonadati; Pseudomonadota; Gammaproteobacteria; Enterobacterales; Enterobacteriaceae
Description: partial 16S ribosomal RNA
Rfam family: Bacterial small subunit ribosomal RNA
Source: RNAcentral
UUAAAUUGAAGAGUUUGAUCAUGGCUCAGAUUGAACGCUGGCGGCAGGCCUAACACAUGCAAGUCGAACGGUAACAGGAAGAAGCUUGCUUCUUUGCUGACGAGUGGCGGACGGGUGAGUAAUGUCUGGGAAACUGCCUGGUGGAGGGGGGUAACUACUGGAAACGGUAGCUAAUACCGCAUAACGUCGCAAAACCAAAGAGGG